AUGAAUCAGCCGUAAGCAUGGGUAAUCCUAGGGGUGGAGCUUUCUAGUCGUGGACCUGGUUCAAGCAUGUAGCUUCUACAAGAGCUCUGUAAAUAAAGUUACCUGUUUCAAAUGGAUCUAAAUUUUGCUGAGCAUUCCCAGAGUCAAAAAAGCAUCAUCUCUCUGUACAUCUGUUAUCCUCGGUGGGAUCUCCACAGACGCUUUUGCUUUCCAUGUCACUUCAUGGUUGAGGAAAUGCAUUCCACAUGAUGUGGGACACAAUCCCUCAUGAGUCUGUUUUCCUUCCUCCUGUCAUCCUAGAUGAACUGGUCAAACCGAACAAACUAAUCCCUUAGUAUCAUUUCUAUCAUGAAUAUCUUUUGAAACUGGAAAUUGAUCUUGGCUUUUCUAGGUGAGACCCACUGCAUUUCUCUAUUUUUGAACUAUGAUAAUGCAUACUGGAUGGUUGAUCAACUCUCCAAUAUCACAGCCAAAUGCUCCUGUUGUCUCAACACCCACACAAAAAUGUUUGAUAUAAGAUCUUAGGUAUAGUGCAGGAAGAUCUUGGAAAAUGUUUUUCCUAACCCAAUAUAGCCAGGAAAUAAAUAAAUGCAAAUGGUCUUAGAAAUAAAAGUUAGAAUGUGAAA
Long non-coding RNA from Carcharodon carcharias (great white shark), 626 nucleotides. RefSeq lists it as uncharacterized. NCBI's taxonomy places the organism in Eukaryota, Metazoa, Chordata, Chondrichthyes, Lamniformes, Lamnidae. The transcript is spliced from 2 exons. The record is from RefSeq and is a predicted model, not a curated record.